ACUCCUACGGGAGGCAGCAGUAGGGAAUUUUUCACAAUGGACGAAAGUCUGAUGGAGCAAUGCCGCGUGGAUGAUGAAGGUUGGAAACAAUUGUAAAAUCCUUUUAUAUGGGAAGAAUUGUAUAGAUAGGAAAUGAUCUAUAUUUGACGGUACCAUUUGAAUAAGUAACGACUAACUAUGUGCCAGCAGUCGCGGUAAUACAUAGGUUGCAAGCGUUAUCCGGAUUUACUGGGCGUAAAACGAGCGCAGGCGGGUUUUCAAGUCUGGUGUUAAAUGCCGUCGCUUAACGACGGCAUGCAUUGGAAACUGUUAACCUAGAGUUUGGUAGAGAGUUCUGGAACUCCAUGUGGAGCGGUGGAAUGCGUAGAUAUAUGGAAGAACACCAGUUGCGAAGGCGAGAACUUGGGCCACAACUGACGCUUAGGCUCGAAAGUGUGGGGAGCAAAUAGGAUUAGAUACCCUAGUAGUCCACACCGUAUACGAUGGGUGUUAAACGUCGGGAUUUAAUCUCGGUGUUGUAGUUAACACAUUAAACACCCUGCCUGGGUAGUACAUUCGCAAGAA
RNAcentral lists this ribosomal RNA (564 nucleotides) under uncultured Mycoplasmataceae bacterium. RNAcentral's name for it is "bacterial SSU rRNA". It matches the Rfam family "Bacterial small subunit ribosomal RNA", at positions 335 to 894 of the family's 1533-position model. Lineage: Bacteria; Bacillati; Mycoplasmatota; Mollicutes; Mycoplasmatales; Mycoplasmataceae. The record is from RNAcentral.